GGCAAAUUUGAAAAAAAUCUGAUUAUAUUAGACUUAAAAUCUUGUCGUAGAUCUUUCUACAGCUUUCUUACAUUACUCAGAACUUGGUAUUUUGGAAUAUUUGUUGGAUUCACUCCUCAUCUGAAUAAAACAGACAUUACCUUUGGAAACGCUCGGGUAGAGGCCCAUCGAAAUCAGCUAAAGAUGUCUAAGGCCACAAAGGUUCAGUCCAAGCCAAAUGUUUUUAUUUCAACGGCUUCCUCAUAUCAACAAGUAUUAGAGAAAGAUAACGAACCUGACUUUCCGGGAUUUCCCGAAGCAACCACAUCAGAAGAGGGUAAAGCAACUUCGAGGAAAAGGAAGAUUGGAGAAACCCUAAUGGGUUCGGAACACACACUAAGGCGAUCGAAAAGGAAAAAAGGCGGUUUAAACAUUUCAUAAUUAGAAACCCUGUAAAAGGGGGAAGAGUUAUUAUAUAGUAUAACAGUUUUUAUUCCAAAAAUAAUAAAAGUACUGCUUACUGGCAGUACUGCCUACGAAGGCGAUCGAAAUGUAAAUAAUAAAGAAACGGACUGGUUCCGUUAGUUAUGUUUUUGAUGUUAACUAGUGCGCUUCACUUUCC
Molecule: long non-coding RNA, 601 nt
Organism: Malaya genurostris
Lineage: Eukaryota; Metazoa; Arthropoda; Insecta; Diptera; Culicidae
Exons: 3
Source: RefSeq, a predicted model, not a curated record